UACGAAGGGAGCUAGCGUUGUCCGGAAUCAUUGGGCGUAAAGAGCGUGUAGGCGGCCCGAUAAGUCCGCUGUGAAAGUCCAGGGCUCAACCCUGGGAUGCCGGUGGAUACUGUCGGGCUCGAGUCCGGAAGAGGAGUGUGGAAUUCCUGGUGUAGCGGUGAAAUGCGCAGAUAUCAGGAGGAACACCAAUGGCGAAGGCAGCACUCUGGGACGUGACUGACGCUGAGACGCGAAAGCGUGGGGAGCAAACAGG
This 253-nucleotide ribosomal RNA is filed under the name uncultured bacterium. RNAcentral describes it as "partial 16S ribosomal RNA". It matches the Rfam family "Bacterial small subunit ribosomal RNA", at positions 524 to 776 of the family's 1533-position model. The record is from RNAcentral.